AUAGUAUUAGUUUAAUAAAAAUAAGGGCUUGUCGUGCCUUAGUUGCUCUUUAGCAUACUAUU
This 62-nucleotide transfer RNA is filed under the name Cichlidogyrus halli. RNAcentral's name for it is "tRNA-Asp". Lineage: Eukaryota; Metazoa; Platyhelminthes; Monogenea; Dactylogyridea; Ancyrocephalidae. The record is from RNAcentral.